UGCCCUAGUAACGGCGAGUGAAGCGGCAACAGCUCAAAUUUGAAAUCUGGCUCUCGGGCCCGAGUUGUAAUUUGUAGAGGAUGCUUUUGGUGAGGUGCCUUCCGAGUUCCCUGGAACGGGACGCCAUAGAGGGUGAGAGCCCCGUCUGGUUGGACACCGAUCCUCUGUAAAGCUCCUUCGACGAGUCGAGUAGUUUGGGAAUGCUGCUCUAAAUGGGAGGUAUAUGUCUUCUAAAGCUAAAUACCGGCCAGAGACCGAUAGCGCACAAGUAGAGUGAUCGAAAGAUGAAAAGAACUUUGAAAAGAGAGUUAAAAAGUACGUGAAAUUGUUGAAAGGGAAGCGCUUGUGACCAGACUUGGGCUUGGUUGAUCAUCCAGGGUUCUCCCUGGUGCACUCUUCCGGCCCAGGCCAGCAUCAGUUCGCCCCGGGGGAAAAAGGCUUCGGGAAUGUGGCUCUCUCCGGGGAGUGUUAUAGCCCGUUGCGUAAUACCCUGUGGCGGACUGAGGUUCGCGCAUUCGCAAGGAUGCUGGCGUAAUGGUCAUCAGUGACCCGUCUUGAAACACGGACCAAGGAGUCGUCUUCGUAUGCGAGUGUUCGGGUGUCAAACCCCUACGCGAAAUGAAAGUGAACGCAGGUGAGAGCUUCGGCGCAUCAUCGACCGAUCCUGAUGUAUUCGGAUGGAUUUGAGUAAGAGCAUACGGAGCCGGACCCGAAAGAAGGUGAACUAUGCCUGUGUAGGGUGAAGCCAGAGGAAACUCUGGUGGAGGCUCGCAGCGGUUCUGACGUGCAAAUCGAUCGUCAAACAUGGGCAUGGGGGCGAAAGACUAAUCGAACCUUCUAGUAGCUGGUUUCCGCCGAAGUUUCCCUCAGGAUAGCAGUGUUGAACUCAGUUUUAUGAGGUAAAGCGAAUGAUUAGGGACUCGGGGGCGCUAUUUAGCCUUCAUCCAUUCUCAAACUUUAAAUAUGUAAGAAGCCCUUGUUUCUUAACUGAACGUGGGCAUUCGAAUGAAUCAACACUAGUGGGCCAUUUUUGGUAAGCAGAACUGGCGAUGCGGGAUGAACCGAACGCGAGGUUAAGGUGCCAGAGUAGACGCUCAUCAGACACCACAAAAGGUGUUAGUACAUCUUGACAGCAGGACGGUGGCCAUGGAAGUCGGAAUCCGCUAAGGACUGUGUAACAACUCACCUGCCGAAUGUACUAGCCCUGAAAAUGGAUGGGCGCUCAAAGCGUCUCA
This 1235-nucleotide ribosomal RNA is filed under the name Fusarium ambrosium. RNAcentral's name for it is "eukaryotic LSU rRNA". It matches the Rfam family "Eukaryotic large subunit ribosomal RNA", at positions 76 to 1340 of the family's 3401-position model. The record is from RNAcentral. Lineage: Eukaryota; Fungi; Ascomycota; Sordariomycetes; Hypocreales; Nectriaceae.